Molecule: non-coding RNA, 2114 nt
Organism: Cherax quadricarinatus
Lineage: Eukaryota; Metazoa; Arthropoda; Malacostraca; Decapoda; Parastacidae
Source: RefSeq, a predicted model, not a curated record
GUUUAUUACGCAGAAUCUGCACUCUUAUGAUUGCUGUAUUUCUUUAUAUAUGAGGUCCUUGUCUUUAUACACAAGGUCCUUGUCCUUAUACACAAGGUCCUUGUCCUUAUACACAAGGUCCUUGUCCUUAUACACGAGGUCCUUGUCUUUAUACACAAGGUCCUUGUCCUUAUACACAAGGUCCUUGUCUUUAUACACAAGGCCCUUGUCCUUAUACAAAAGGUCCUUGUCCUUAUACACAAGGUCCUUGUCCUUAUACACAAGGUCCUUGUCCUUAUACACAAGGUCCUUGUCCUUAUACACAAGGUCCUUGUCUUUACACACAAGGCCCUUGUCCUUAUACAAAAGGUCCUUGUCCUUAUACACAAGGUCCUUGUCCUUAUACACGAGGUCCUUGUCUUUAUACACAAGGUCCUUGUCCUUAUACACAAGGUCCUUGUCUUUAUACACAAGGUCCUUGUCCUUAUACACAAGGUCCUUGUCCUUAUACACAAGGUCCUUGUCCUUAUACACAAGGUCCUUGUCCUUAUACACAAGGUCCUUGUCCUUAUACACGAGGUCCUUGUGUCUAUACACAGGUCCUCUACUUUAUAAAACAAGUUCUCAACUUACAAACACUGGGAAGUAAAAAUAUCUACACUUACAAACACUGUACUUAGAAACUAUUUUUACAAUUGCUGUACUGAAGUAUAAAACAGAAUAAUUUUUCUAAUACUGUUUCAUAUAUAAAUUUUCUUUUUAUGCUGAAAAACCGGGAAUACAACUUACACGUAACUUGAAAUGCCCGGAAUGCAACUUGUUUUUGAGAUAGAGUAAAAAAUCACAAUACCGUGACUGGAACAACACACAGAUAGCCCUCGCACAUGAGUCGGAUACUUCUGACGAUGUUUUGGUCUGACUUGAACCAUUAACUAAUCAGUGGCCCAAGUCAGAUCGAAACGUCAUCAUGAGCCUCAUUCUCCUAUGUCCUGGUUAUUUGUGUAUCAUUUGUGUGAUGGAACACCAGGACAGGAAAGGGUUUGUAAGUUGUGAACGUGUACCUGACACGUCUCUCAUUCCUUGUAUGUUUCACACUGUCAUGUAUACCUUGUAAAGCAGCCGGGAUACACUACAGACAUUCUAGUGUUUAAUAAUUCAGUAUGGCAACUGAUUCACUCAUUAAGUGUCAAGUAAACAUGCAGGAUUCUUUUGCAAAUGUUUAGUGUGUUUCUGUUGGAUAUUCCAGCAACUGUAUAGUUAAAUGAUAGACGAUAACAGAAAUGUUUGAGGAAGAUUCUGCAUGUCUUGAAAUGUUUAAGGUACAGGUAAAGAUGACUUACAUUGUUUAACUCGUAACCUCAGAAGGAGUAAAAUGACUCAUGAUAACACGAUUGUAAACAAAUCAUAGAACGGGUGAGGUUCUGAACCCAUGGUGAGUCCUGAAACCCACAGACCAGUGUGUUAACCACUGUACCAGGUGGCUGUAAUAAGUAUCUUAUUAGAUUCAGCUGGCCCAGUGAUUAACACACUGGCCUGUGUUUCAGGACUCACCAUGGGUUCAAAACCCCACCUGUUCCCUGAUUUAAUAAAAUAAAAUUUAAAGUUAAAUAUAGAAUAAUCUGUAACUGCUCAACUAAUACUUUGUAUACUCAAGUAUAACUCAAAAAAUAUCUACUUUAUGCAUCUCUUGUACAAUUUUUUUCUAAGUUUUGAAGAGAAAAUGAGUAAUAUUUGAUAAGUUAAGUGCUGUUCUGGAUGUGUUGUGUGUGUGCGUGUGUUGCUGUGUUUGGAAAACAAAGUGGACGAGAGGAGGCUUCUGAUCCAGUGUUUCCAGUUGUAAGUUUAGCCUGACGCAUUUGUAUGUGCAGAAGAGAGUUAAGCAUAAUGAAAAGUAAUCACUUAAUAGUGCUGAUGGUGUGUUGGAACAACUGUAUCAAGGUCAGGUGUGUUGGAGCAGCUGUAUCAAGGUCAGGUGUGUUAGAACAACUGUAUCAAGGUCAGGUGUGUUGGAACAACUGUAUCAAGGUCAGGUGUGUUGGAGCAGCUGUAUCAAGGUCAGGUGUGUUGGAACAACUGUAUCAAGGUCAGGUGUGUUGGAACAACUGUAUCAAGGUCAGGUAUGCCGUGUUACUUGC